This 513-nucleotide ribosomal RNA is filed under the name uncultured bacterium. Its description in RNAcentral is "partial 16S ribosomal RNA". The record is from RNAcentral.
GGAGUUAGCCGGUGCUUCUUCUGUGAGUGAUGUCCUUCCUGCCGGUUAUUGACCCGCAGGCCUUCUUCCUCACUGAAAGUGCUUUACAACCCGAAGGCCUUCUUCACACACGCGGCAUGGCUGGAUCAGGGUUGCCCCCAUUGUCCAAUAUUCCCCACUGCUGCCUCCCGUAGGAGUCUGGGCCGUGUCUCAGUCCCAGUGUGGCUGAUCAUCCUCUCAGACCAGCUACGGAUCGUCGCCUUGGUGAGCCGUUACCUCACCAACCAGCUAAUCCGACAUAGGCUCAUCCGAUAGCGCGAGGCCCGAAGGUCCCCCGCUUUCCCCCGUAGGGCGUAUGCGGUAUUAGCCUGGGUUUCCCCAGGUUAUCCCCCACUACCGGGCAGAUUCCUAUGCAUUACUCACCCGUCCGCCGCUCGCCACCAGGGAGCAAGCUCCCCGUGCUGCCGCUCGACUUGCAUGUGUUAGGCCGUCGCCGCCACGCGUUCAUCUGAGCCAGAAUACGAACCCGUACGA